RNAcentral lists this long non-coding RNA (212 nucleotides) under Sorghum bicolor (sorghum). RNAcentral describes it as "long non-coding RNA (SBIC_LNC002692)". The record is from RNAcentral. Lineage: Eukaryota; Viridiplantae; Streptophyta; Magnoliopsida; Poales; Poaceae.
UUGGCAGAAGGCUACGCACAAUCAAUGGUAACAGCUUCUGUAAAAUAACAUGGUAGUCAUGAGUUUUCAGUCCACUAACCUUACAACCUUUGAUGUCAACACAUCUUUUUAUAUUGGAGGCAAACCCAUCAGGCAUCUUCACUCCUUCUAGAAAUUUGCAAAAAAUUUCCUUCUCAUCCUUAGAUAAUUUGUACAAUGCUGGUGGCAUAGUA